Clupea harengus (Atlantic herring) is the source of this 503-nucleotide long non-coding RNA. The record is from Ensembl. Lineage: Eukaryota; Metazoa; Chordata; Actinopteri; Clupeiformes; Clupeidae.
AUGGAUGGUCAAGUACAAUUAGUGGCUAUUUGCUCCAUCUGUAAGCUUGCGAUCUGCACUGCAUUGCGCUGUGUAAACGGGUUUAACUGCACAGCUAUCAAAUUAAACCUUGUUAGCGCAAGUAUGCUCAGUGCUCUUUAUAGGCUUGUAUUCUCAGCCAUAAACAGGAGACCAGACUACUGACAAUUCAUUCUUCACACACACAUGAAGCCAUCUGAGAGACUAGAGACCGAGGGGCUUCGUUCAGUAGUUAUCCGUGCAGACCAUCUAAAUGGGGCCCACAGUCCUCUUCCCUGUCUAUUUUUAGCUUGGUGACAACAGGUGAUAUAUUUCCCUUCUGAUCUAUAUCUGGAGUUAUUUGGCUAAAAAUAGACGUGGUCACCGGCGUGGCGAGAUAUGGGUAGUAACAGCACAGGUACGUGGGGAGAUAUAGGUGGUAACAGCACAGGUACGUGGUCACAGGCGUGGGGGGAUAUAGGUAGUAACAGCACAGGUACGUGGUC